Molecule: long non-coding RNA, 2138 nt
Organism: Parus major (Great Tit)
Lineage: Eukaryota; Metazoa; Chordata; Aves; Passeriformes; Paridae
Source: Ensembl
AUGAUACUGAGGAAGAGAAAAAGGGAGAAUGGCACUGAAGCUCAUUCAAGUGGAUUUUCAGGAUUCUCUAGCUGCAGACCAACAAGACUGUCUGAACUGGUCUUGAAACAGAAAUGUGGUAUUUCAUUUCCUCUCAAGAUACCUGAUGGAACUUCUAGGGACCCACGAGUGAAUGCUCUUAAUUUUAAGGGCUGUAGGGGUAAGUAAAAUGUAGAACCCUACAAUUCAGUUUAGCUGUCUCACAACUUAUUUCUCACUAUUUAUUCUACUUUUCUGUGUGCUUUGCAGUAAGUCUAAUUCUGCUAAUCUCCUUUAUGAAUGCCAAAGGAAAUCACACUAUAAAACUGAUUAGUGUUUUCCAAAGGAAUAUUUUUUGCAAGAAACAGUAUCUUCAUGUUAUACAUUAGAUGCAGAAUAUAUUUUCAGAUUUUUUGAAUAACUCAUUUUUGAUGCAAGUAGUAAUAACUAUAUAAUAUAAAUUCAUAUAGAAUUAUUACAUAAAGAUAAACAAGAUGACAGAAAUGCCACACUAAGAGGAAGUCAGUUUCCAGUGAGCCGCUAGAGUUAGGAGAAAGGAUGUUUGACUGUGAAUUUUAAAAUUCCUCCUCUACACAUUGAUUAAGUAACAUCCCUAUUCUACUAUACAAAGUUCUAGCACCUCUCUUGCCCUUUUCUUGUACCAGAAAGCAACUGUACAGAACUUUGAAAGCACUGAUGAUGUUGCAGAUCCAACUGACUCCUCUCUUUCUUGGAAUAUCCUGCUUUCCACAACAGAGUAACUUUUGGCUUUGUAGAAUCAGAUAUAUACUGAUAUCUACUGCAAACCUCGGGUAUUUUUUCUUCUUACUGCCUUUGUAAAUAAUACCUAUUAAUAUUAAGCUGUUAGACAGUGGAGCUUUAAUUUUUUGUCAGUUCAAGUUAGAAUAUUGCCUGUUGUAGAUGACAAAUCACAUCUGUUCCUUAGCUGGGAAUACACAGCAUUGUUUUAGGGUUGCAGGGGAAAGGGGGUAAUAUAACAAACCAAUGUGCACAUGUAGCACAAAUGUGGGGGGCUCAAACAGCUGGGUCAGAGAUCAAAACUGGCACAUUUUCCUACAUCUAGGUGAGUAUGCAAAAGAGAUACUUGCUUCACUAAUAUUUUCCUGGGUUUGAAGUUUCAAAAUAGAAUUUAAAGCCAUAAAUAAUGUCUGGAUAUCUCCAUUUUAUCUUGAGGCUGUUGAAAACAACGAAAUACAAAAAAUUACAUGAGCAAGGCUGGAAAUAACAGCCAGAUUUAUGUGUCUUAGGCAGGUUUUUUAUUCAAUAUUGAUAUAUUAUUGAAAACUGUCUUCUGUGGCAAUCUGUGCUGGCCAGCAUGAUGGUGAUGGUGGAAUAGAAUAAGUGGGAUAUAUAUUAGGAAAUGAAUGUAAGCUAAAAUAUAUUUAUCAAUUAUGUUUGUAUGUAUUUAGAACAAGACUCUCUUCCUCAGCCCAAGUAUCCCUCGGCUAUCAUCUAUUUUUACUAUAAUUUCAGCAGAUGUAACAUGGAUUGCUGAGAUUUGCACUUUAUAUUAAGAUAUAUACAAUGGAUAAUUCUUAUUUACCUUCUACUAGACUGGUGAGAUGAAAGUGACAGAAUAUGGCUAAUCUCUGGUGCCAAAGGGAUUCCACCCAGAAGUGCCCAAUACUUACCUUUGUUGUUAGAUAGUCUGCUUGAGUUGUAGUGAAAAAUUAUUCUCUAGUACACUCAAAUGUGGAUGACUUCUUCAAGUGGCUCUCUCUGAGCUGCUACUGAACACAGUUCAUCCUGACUUGUUGGGGACAUGAUUAACACCCAAAAGUGACCUGCUGCAUAUCAGCCUAGGAUCAGAUGCCUAGAUGUCUGGUCCACUUUAUUUCUCCAGACAGUGCAUAACUAAAAAAUCACCUUGCACUGUGACAUCCUUUAUUCUUACAUUAUUGUUUGAAAUUCACUCUAUCAUCAGUACUGCAAUUGAUAGUUGAUUUUUUUUUUGCUUUCUUCUGAUUUUCUUUAAUUUUAAAUACUAUUUCUUAAUAGUUCUUUUUUUUUUCUCUCCACAGCUGUAUACUAGUGACCAGCCUAUUAUAAUAGAUCAGAUCAACAAUAAAAUCAAGAUGUUGAAGAUAUGCUAGAUAGCA